GCGACUCCUGCGCAAGCGCAGAGUGAAGGGCCGGGAACAGUGGAGGGUGCGAGGAAGACAAUGGGGGAGGACCCUGAGGCGGCCUCUGUGAGCCGACAGGAACACGUGGUCGAUCAGAGAGAGACUCGAGGUUCGUGAACGGAUGGGGAGGACCCUGAAAAGCACUGUGGAAUACAGGUUUCUAGUAACUUCAAAAUCACAUCAUUUGGACUGGGUAAGAAUUGCUGAAACUUUAAUGAAAAGACUGACUGGCUUAUAAAACUGCUAACCCAAAUAGAAUAAAAAUUAAUUGAAUACCGAGGAAAUGCUUCACCAGGUUUGCAUACUUAAUCAGCCUAUACUGAAAUUGUUUAGAUAUACAAUUUGAAUGAACUCCAUGGUCUAAGUCAAAUUACCUGUGAUAACCCAUCAGUUAUCCAUGCUAUGUGCCCAAUUUGGAGAAACAACUGGCACCCAAGAGGACAUAAGUCCGAUGUUAAGCAUGGACUCAUGGAGAACCAAGAUGGCUGCCUUGUCCUUCGUGAGUCCUUAAAGCUUUUGUUAUUAAAAGUUAUGCAUUCCAUGACUCAUCCUGGAAAAGAUAAAAUGAUCCAAAUUAAAUAUGUUGGUGUGGUGACUUACAGAUUGUUAAAAUAGUUUAUAAACAAUGUUUAGUUUGUCAAACCCAUACUCCUGGGAAGUCAAUCAAAGCUUCAUGUACAUUUGGCUACCUGAUGAGGCAUUUAAACAUUUAUAAAGGGGUUUCAUUCAGUUGUCAUUUUCAAUGUAUGUGUUCUGGUUGUACUAAAGCUUUCCCAUGCAGGAGGGCUAAUGUUAUAACAGUAGAUUACUAUGUAUCAGUGUAUUUUCACCAGGUAAAGAGCUUUUUAUGGUUCACUGAGGACAAUCAACCCCUUCACAAUCUAGAACCCAAAGAUGGGAUCUUCUGAGAACAUCAGAGAAACGCUGCCCUUGGCAUCAUCACUGCAACAAAACAUCAGGAUCUUGAACCUUGGGGUCAUAAUCUCACAACUGAGCAGGGUCACUCUUGGAACUCUACAUCCAUUGAAACCCUUAAGGUAAAGCUAAUCAGGGAAGUUUCUCCCCAGAAGAAGAUGGCAUCCUUGAUGUGAGCAGCUCUUUCUGAAGAUCAUGGAUCAAGACUUCUUACUAUCAUGAGACUCUUAUCUUUGAAUGUUUUUCCGUUGCUUCCGCCUCUGUGAACAACAGAAGUGAGAAGGGGGUCUGUUUUGUGCACUUAUGGGGUAUACUUUUAUUUGUGAAGGGCUUUGCAGCCAGCUUUAUACAUGGAUAAUCUUAUAACUUGAUAGAUAAAGAUGAAGGCCCAGUGUAUCAUAGGUGAGAAACUUCAAUGGUACAUAUGGUGCCUCAUAAUCAUUCAGAAGCAGAACAUUGGUUCACUCCUCUUAACCCACAGCAUGGGUUAAAGAGACCAUUGCCAAGAGGCCUUCCCUCUUCUAGAAGGGCAUCAUUUGUUAGGUCCUUUUUCCAUGGUUUGGAAUUAAAAAGGCAAU
Molecule: long non-coding RNA, 1514 nt
Filed under: Homo sapiens (human)
Lineage: Eukaryota; Metazoa; Chordata; Mammalia; Primates; Hominidae
Description: HSALNT0338817
Source: RNAcentral